This 679-nucleotide ribosomal RNA is filed under the name Agriotypus armatus. RNAcentral's name for it is "eukaryotic LSU rRNA". The stretch from base 498 to 679 matches the Rfam family "Eukaryotic large subunit ribosomal RNA", at positions 665 to 814 of the family's 3401-position model. The record is from RNAcentral. Lineage: Eukaryota; Metazoa; Arthropoda; Insecta; Hymenoptera; Ichneumonidae.
UGGGAGAAACCCGAAAGAUCGAAUGGGGAGAUUCAUCGUCCAGCGAUUCUUGGCGCUUGUGCGGUUCGCGAUGCUCGCGUCGACCUUGCGGUCGUUCGCGCGGCACGCGUCCGCAUGUUUUACCAUGUCGGAAUCGUCGGCGUCCACUUCUCCCCUAGUAGGACGUCGCAACCCGUCGGGUGUCGGUCUACGGCCCGGGUGGGCACCUGUCAUGCGUUUGCGCGCCUSGCGGCGUUGCGCGCGGGGCAGACACCCGGCUGCCCGACCGGCUGCCCGGCGGUACUCGCAUGGUAUCUGGCCGCAAAUAUUCGAACUGUGUCCAGCCCGUCGCAAGCGGGGCAAGUGUUUCCCCGGAUGCGCGGAUCUAACGCCGUCACCGGGCCUUGCCAGUUGUUGGCCGACGGUGCUCUGGGACCGGCCAAUGAACCCAUAACAUCAUGAUACCGGUCGGCGACGCUACUGCUUUGGGUACUUUCAGGACCUGUCUUGAAACACGGACCAAGGAGUCUAACAUGUGUGCGAGUCAUUGGGAACUCUUAAGCCUAAAGGCGCAAUGAAAGUGAAGAUCGGCCUCGCGCCGAUCGAGGCAGGAUGGGCCGCGUCACGAUGCGGUCCCGCACUCGCGGGGCGUCUCGUUCUCAUUGCGAGAAGAGGCGCACCCAGAGCGUACACGUUGGGA